Molecule: ribosomal RNA, 1043 nt
Filed under: uncultured bacterium
Lineage: Bacteria
Description: bacterial SSU rRNA
Rfam family: Bacterial small subunit ribosomal RNA
Source: RNAcentral
CUCCUACGGGAGGCAGCAGUGGGGAAUAUUGCGCAAUGGGGGCAACCCUGACGCAGCAACGCCGCGUGCAGGAAGAAGGUCUUCGGAUUGUAAACUGUUGUCGCAAGGGAAGAAGACAGUGACGGUACCUUGUGAGAAAGUCACGGCUAACUACGUGCCAGCAGCCGCGGUAAUACGUAGGUGACAAGCGUUGUCCGGAUUUACUGGGUGUAAAGGGCGCGUAGGCGGACUGUCAAGUCAGUCGUGAAAUACCGGGGCUUAACCCCGGGGCUGCGAUUGAAACUGACAGCCUUGAGUAUCGGAGAGGAAAGCGGAAUUCCUAGUGUAGCGGUGAAAUGCGUAGAUAUUAGGAGGAACACCAGUGGCGAAGGCGGCUUUCUGGACGACAACUGACGCUGAGGCGCGAAAGUGUGGGGAGCAAACAGGAUUAGAUACCCUGGUAGUCCACACCGUAAACGAUGGAUACUAGGUGUAGGAGGUAUCGACCCCUUCUGUGCCGCAGUUAACACAAUAAGUAUCCCACCUGGGGAGUACGACCGCAAGGUUGAAACUCAAAGGAAUUGACGGGGGCCCGCACAAGCAGUGGAGUAUGUGGUUUAAUUCGAAGCAACGCGAAGAACCUUACCUGGGCUUGACAUCCCUGGAAUCGAGUAGAGAUACUUGAGUGCCUUCGGGAAUCAGGUGACAGGUGGUGCAUGGUUGUCGUCAGCUCGUGUCGUGAGAUGUUGGGUUAAGUCCCGCAACGAGCGCAACCCCUAUUGUCAGUUGCCAUCAUUAAGUUGGGCACUCUGGCGAGACUGCCGGUGACAAAUCGGAGGAAGGUGGGGACGACGUCAAAUCAUCAUGCCCCUUAUGCCCAGGGCUACACACGUACUACAAUGGCCGAUAACAAAGUGCAGCGAAACCGUGAGGUGGAGCGAAUCACAAAACUCGGUCUCAGUUCAGAUUGCAGGCUGCAACUCGCCUGCAUGAAGUUGGAAUUGCUAGUAAUCGCGGAUCAGAAUGCCGCGGUGAAUACGUUCCCGGGCCUUGUACACACCGCA